RNAcentral lists this transfer RNA (62 nucleotides) under Leptocorisa acuta (rice earhead bug). RNAcentral describes it as "tRNA-Trp". The record is from RNAcentral. Lineage: Eukaryota; Metazoa; Arthropoda; Insecta; Hemiptera; Alydidae. RNAcentral also lists the same sequence under 2 other names.
AAAGCUUUAAGUUAAAAAAACUAUUAACCUUCAAAGUUAAAAAUACUAAAAAGUAAGCUUUA